AUUGAACGCUGGCGGCAGGCCUAACACAUGCAAGUCGAACGAGUGGCGGACGGGUGAGUAAUGUCUGGGAAACUGCCUGAUGGAGGGGGAUAACUACUGGAAACGGUAGCUAAUACCGCAUCCCAUCGGAUGUGCCCAGAUGGGAUUAGCUAGUAGGUGGGGUAAAGGCUCACCUAGGCGACGAUCCCUAGCUGGUCGGAGAGGAUGACCAGCAACACGGGAACGGAGCAACGGUCCAGACGCCGAGGGUGGGCAGGAGUGGGGAAGAUUGCACAAUGGGCGCAAGCCUGAUGCAGCCAUGCCGGGUGUAUGAAGAAGGCCUUCGGGUUGUAAAGUACUUUCAGCGGGGAGGCGUUACCCGCAGAAGAAGCACCGGCUAACUCCGUGCCAGCAGCCGCGGUAAUA
This 405-nucleotide ribosomal RNA is filed under the name uncultured bacterium. RNAcentral's name for it is "partial 16S ribosomal RNA". It matches the Rfam family "Bacterial small subunit ribosomal RNA", at positions 29 to 525 of the family's 1533-position model. The record is from RNAcentral.